GACCUAAAUCUUAAUUUUUUAAGACAUGGUCAAAAUCCUCAGCGAUAAAGAUGGUCUUCUGACCAGUGCUUCAUCGCUGAGGUCUGUAUCCGAAAGGAUGUAGGAUAGUUUCGAAAGGAAUUAUC
Molecule: non-coding RNA, 125 nt
Submitted as: unclassified sequences
Source: Rfam